CAGUCGCCACGGGAAUACGAACCGUGCGAACGUUAUUCGGAAUUACUGGGCUUAAAGCGCGUGUAGGCGGGUUCGCACGCCUGAUGCUGAAAUCCCCCGGCUUAACCGGGGAAGUGGCACGGAUACGGCGAGUCUGGAGGGAGGUAGGGGGGUCUGGAACUUCCGGUGGAGCGGUGAAAUGCGUUGAGAUCGGAAGGAACGCCCGUGGCGAAAGCGAGGCCCUGGACCUUUUCUGACGCUGAGACGCGAAAGCCAGGGGAGCGAACGGGAUUAGAUACCCCCGUAGUCCAUGUCUCUUAUU
RNAcentral lists this ribosomal RNA (301 nucleotides) under uncultured bacterium. RNAcentral describes it as "partial 16S ribosomal RNA". It matches the Rfam family "Bacterial small subunit ribosomal RNA", at positions 509 to 808 of the family's 1533-position model. The record is from RNAcentral.